CGAACUGUGCGAACGUUAUUCGGAAUCACUGGGCUUAAAGGGUGCGUAGGCGGUUAUCUAAGUCAGGUGUGAAAUCUCUCGGCUCAACCGGGAAACUGCGCUUGAAACUGGGUGACUGGAGUGAUGCAGGGGUGUGUGGAACUUCCGGUGGAGCGGUGAAAUGUGUAGAUAUCGGAAGGAACGCCAGCAGCGAAAGCGGCACACUGGGCAUUUUCUGACGCUGAGGCACGAAAGCUAGGGGAGUGAACGGGAUUAGAUACCCCGGUAAUCCUAGCCGUAAACACUGAGCACUGGAGGAGGGAGGUUUCGGCCUUCUUUCUCGUAGCGAAAGCGUUAAGUGCUCCGCCUGGGGAGUAUGGUCGCAAGGCUG
RNAcentral lists this ribosomal RNA (370 nucleotides) under uncultured organism. RNAcentral's name for it is "bacterial SSU rRNA". It matches the Rfam family "Bacterial small subunit ribosomal RNA", at positions 526 to 896 of the family's 1533-position model. The record is from RNAcentral.